GUGUGCAGCGGUGAUUGGUCCUCGCUUUACCUAAGGGACAGCCCGCGGUGGCGGCGAGGGGUCUUCUGGGAAGUCAUGGCGUCGCUCAACAGUAAAACCGCGGUCUGCGUGAUCUGUUUGGAGAAGCCGAAAUACCGCUGCCCGGCUUGCCGCGUGCCCUACUGCUCCGUCACUUGCUUCCAGAAGCACAAAGAGCAGUGCAACCCGGAAACUCGUCCUGCUGAGAACAGAAGAAUAGUAGCUCCAGUGAAUAUAAAGUCUGAGGAAAACAAAGAUGAUGAUGACUCUAUAGCGGACUUCCUCAACAGUGAUGAGGAAGAGGACAGAGUGUCUCUGCAGAAUUUAAAGAAUUUAGGUGAAUCUGCAACUUUAAGAAGUUUACUCCUCAACCCACACCUGAGACAACUGAUGGCUAACCUGGAUCAGGGUGACAACAAAGCAAAGCUGAUGAAAGCCUGCAUGCAGGAGCCUCUGUUUGUGGAGUUUGCAGACUGCUGUUUAAGAAUCGUGGAACCAUCCCGGAACAGGGAUUCUUAAAAUUUGGAUGUGCUCUUUGCUUAAGCUGCCCACUGCUCCUCCAAGGAGGAGGUUGCUUCCAAGGCUGCUACAGAACAUGUAGGUCUUUUCCAUCACUCGGCUUGCUUCAGACAGGUGGAGAACACUCAAGGUGAAGAGCCUCUAUGAAGAGUGGAACCCUGGAGUGAUGGCUCAGCUCUUCCAGAGAGAGGACCAAUCUUCAGCACUCAUGACUGCCAACACAUGUAAUUAAAGUUCCAGGGGAUCUGACACCCUCUUCUGACCUCUGAAGGAAUGUAGGCCUAAAAGGGCACAGAUUCCACAAUGAGUGACUGAACAGAUGCACAGGUGCCAUCCAUUUGCCUUCUAGGUGGACUGCCUCAGACCUGCCAUUCUCCUCAUCCCUACCUCCCUCUGUCUGGCUCAUGUUCUGAAUGCCACCAGGCUUUGGUCCUACAGCAAUGUGGCUUACUUACCGGAUGGGAAAGCCAGCAGCACUGAUGUGGAUGGUCUCCACAAGGCCACAGGCCUCCAACUGGCUCAGGACCUACAAGGGUGGGGAGACAGAGCAAGCACCUGUAGGCCAAAAAUGCCAUUUCUUUUGCACAUCUUUGGUCCUGACCUUCAGUGACAGGCAGGAUUGGCUGAUGGAGAUGUCUUUGUGGGGCCAUGAGAAACUAAAGGCCUGAAGAUCUCCCUGCUACAGGAGGUUCUGGUAGACCCACAAAUGCCCUGUCUGGUACCUGGCUCCUGACAUGGCUAAGGUCUGCAAUGGUCCUGGCUGUCUGUCACCUCUCCAGGGCUGACACCACUUCACAAUACAGAAGAGUUUAUUCUCUUCCGGCAUCAGAGUUGCUCAAGCAAGGAAGGUUAUACUGUGAAGAUUUUUACUUGGCUACACAACCACACUUACCAGGUGACUGUUGGAUAUUCCUCAGUGCUGUCCAGCACUCAUACAUCUAUACCCCCUCAGAACCUGAAACCCUGAGGAAUGAUUCUAUGUAAAUUAGGAAAUGAGUCCAGAAUAGCCGCACUGCAUGGACUGCACAGAUGUUGAACAAAUCACAGAACAGCCAUUGCCCUGAGCAGAUUCAAUCUAUUGUUAGAGUUAAGCUAGGUGAGCAGGGAGCAAGAUGUUCUGGGACAAUAAGCCCUCCUUGAUGUCCAGCCUGAGAGACUGCCUGUGAUCACUCCAUCUGGAGAUGGCUCUCCCUUUAGUUUUCUAGGCCUGGCCGGAUGGGGUUUGAUACUAGGCAGCUGUCAGUCAGGAUUAAUUACCUCUUUCUGGAGGAAGGUCUGUGGCUUACUCUGGCUGUUAGGCUUGAUACAGCGAAUGUAGUGGGGUGUUGUGCUAUGAAGGACCUGUAGGAGCUGCUCCAGUGAGGCCUACAGACAGAAAAAUCCGGGGUAAGGCAGGAUUGGGGCAGCUCAGGGUCAUAAAUGUGAGUACAUUAUGUCCUUGGUGACCCUUCCAGCCUUGACAUCAGGACCCACAUAUGCCCUGGGAACUACUGGGACCCCACUCCCCCAGACAGGGUUUCUCUGUGUAACAGUCCUGGCUGUCCUACGACUUGCAUUGUGACCAGGCUGGCCUCAAACUCAGAGCGAUCCGCCUGCCUCUGCCUCCAAGUUCUGGGAUUGAAGGCAUGCGCCACCACACCUAUCCUGGAAGUUCUUAAAGAACCUGUUAAAACACA
Mesocricetus auratus (golden hamster) is the source of this 2213-nucleotide RNA transcript. It is a transcript of the gene named zinc finger HIT-type containing 3, with no coding region annotated. NCBI's taxonomy places the organism in Eukaryota, Metazoa, Chordata, Mammalia, Rodentia, Cricetidae. The record is from RefSeq and is a predicted model, not a curated record. The transcript is spliced from 6 exons.